Molecule: ribosomal RNA, 254 nt
Filed under: uncultured bacterium
Lineage: Bacteria
Description: partial 16S ribosomal RNA
Rfam family: Bacterial small subunit ribosomal RNA
Source: RNAcentral
UACGUAGGUGGCAAGCGUUGUCCGGAAUUAUUGGGCGUAAAGCGCGCGCAGGCGGUCUUUUAAGUCUGAUGUGAAAGCCCACGGCUCAACCGUGGAGGGUCAUUGGAAACUGGGGGACUUGAGUGCAGAAGAGGAAAGUGGAAUUCCAAGUGUAGCGGUGAAAUGCGUAGAGAUUUGGAGGAACACCAGUGGCGAAGGCGACUUUCUGGUCUGUAACUGACGCUGAGGCGCGAAAGCGUGGGGAGCAAACAGGG